CAAAAGAAGGGUCCAAUGUACGAC
This 24-nucleotide non-coding RNA is filed under the name Arabidopsis thaliana (thale cress). Lineage: Eukaryota; Viridiplantae; Streptophyta; Magnoliopsida; Brassicales; Brassicaceae. The record is from RNAcentral.